AAGAGAAUUUCCAACAGGUUGGCUUUAAGAGAAAGCUAAUUCUAACAAAACAUCACCUUUAAUUAAUUAAUUAAUUUUUAUUUUAAUGAAAAAGCAUAUACUAUAAAUUGAAACUGAGGCUAAUUAAUUAGAGUGUGCAGCAAAUUCUUUGAGCAUAUAUGGCAAAGGAUCAAGUGGCCAUACCCACCUUGAAGGUAUUAAACCUUAAUUAAUUAAUUAGUCAAGCUUCUUUGGUUUUAAUUUGAUCCACUUUCAAUGUAUAUAUAUAUACAAUAUAUUAAUAAUGAUUAAAAUCAAAAAACUAAUUAAGUUUCAAUAUUAUUUUUGUCUAUGUUGAGAAGGUUGAAUUGAAGGUCUUCAUCCAUUGUUGUGAUGGGUGCAGAAGGAAGAUUAAAAAGGUUCUUAGGAGUAUUGAAGGUGUAUUUGGAAUAGAAAUUGACCCAAUGAUGCCAAAAGUGAUAGUCACAGGAAAUGUUGAUCCACAAAUCUUAAUAAAAAAGCUUUGCAAAGCUGGAAAACAAGCACAAGUAACAAAGAGUGAGAAAGUCAAAGACUUUGAUGAUGAUGAUGAUGAAAACAAAACUAGCAAUAUUAAUAGUAAUACUAAAAAUAAUGAAAACAGUGUUCCUAAUUCAAGUGAGACUACUACUAAAAGUGUUGUUGUUCCCACUUCUUCUAUCCACAAAACACAAGCCAUGCCUAUUAAUAUGCCUAAUUUGGUUAUAGAUUCAUCUAAUGAGGUUAGAAAACAUAAUAUGAUCAUUCCUAGCAGAAUGGCCCUACUCUGCCAAUGGCCCUAGCAGAAUUAAAAAUCAGUUCAAAGAAUGGUUCAAACCAGUUCAAAUAUCUGAGCAAUUAGCUCACAAUCUUCCCUCCAAAAAGUGGCAAAACCACCUUAGCAUUUUACCCCACUUUCAGCAAAAGACAAUUAUGCUAAGAUUCCCUACAGAACCCAUGUGCAAGUGUACCCCACAAGCACGACAACUUGCUAAGAUUCCCUAAAUUUUUUAACUUUAUUAAAUAGCAACUAAUAGACCACACCUACUUUUAUUCUUGAUCAACUAACUCACCACCAACCAAAAAUAUCAUAUAAAAGGGGUCAUUAUUCUCUAAGAAAAACCUAGAAAUCAAAAGUAGGAGGAGUUGAGAUGAACACUUACUGUAAUCAGGAGCUGCAUCAUCCUUGUUCCUCAUUCGAAAAGCCAUUGCAACCCCCUUCCACCCAGUUUGAAGCCCUCACUCUCUCUUCCUCUCCUCUUCGUCUCCGAGUCGUCUUGGUCUUCUUCUUAGUUUCAGUCUUCUUCUGGUGCGAACGUCUCCUUCUUGUUCUUCUGUUCUCCCCAAACUUCUUCUUCGUAUCCCUCUUCUUUUGAUUUCUGAUUCGUCUUCGUCUUCGUCUCCUUCUUCUUCCUUUUUCUUUUUGAUUUUUGAUUUUGAUUUUCACAGGUACUGUUUUGUUUUAUUUUUAAGCUUUGUUGGAUGUUUGUUUUAAUUUUAAGUUUAGUUUAUGUAAUUAUUUUUUUUUUCAGAUAAAAGAUUUAUUAAAUUUCA
Cannabis sativa is the source of this 1551-nucleotide long non-coding RNA. RefSeq lists it as uncharacterized. The transcript is spliced from 2 exons. Lineage: Eukaryota; Viridiplantae; Streptophyta; Magnoliopsida; Rosales; Cannabaceae. The record is from RefSeq and is a predicted model, not a curated record.